This 591-nucleotide ribosomal RNA is filed under the name uncultured Burkholderia sp. RNAcentral's name for it is "bacterial SSU rRNA". It matches the Rfam family "Bacterial small subunit ribosomal RNA", at positions 418 to 1002 of the family's 1533-position model. Lineage: Bacteria; Pseudomonadati; Pseudomonadota; Betaproteobacteria; Burkholderiales; Burkholderiaceae. The record is from RNAcentral.
UCGGGUUGUAAAGCACUUUUGUCCGGAAAGAAAUCCUCUUCGCUAAUACCGAGGGGGGGAUGACGGUACCGGAAGAAUAAGCACCGGCUAACUACGUGCCAGCAGCGCGGUAAUCGUAGGGUGCAAGCGUUAAUCGGAAUUACUGGGCGUAAAGUGUGCGCAGGCGGUUCGCUAAGACAGAUGUGAAAUCCCCGGGCUUAACCUGGGAACUGCAUUUGUGACUGGCGGGCUAGAGUAUGGCAGAGGGGAGUAGAAUUCCACGUGUAGCAGUGAAAUGCGUAGAGAUGUGGAGGAAUACCGAUGGCGAAGGCAGCCCCCUGGGCCAAUACUGACGCUCAUGCACGAAAGCGUGGGGAGCAAACAGGAUUAGAUACCCUGGUAGUCCACGCCCUAAACGAUGUCAACUAGUUGUCGGGUCUUCAUUGACUUGGUAACGUAGCUAACGCGUGAAGUUGACCGCCUGGGGAGUACGGUCGCAAGAUUAAAACUCAAAGGAAUUGACGGGGACCCGCACAAGCGGUGGAUGAAUGUGGAUUAAUUCGAUGCAACGCGAAAAACCUUACCUACCCUUGACAUGGUCGGAACCUGCUG